This 506-nucleotide ribosomal RNA is filed under the name uncultured archaeon. RNAcentral's name for it is "bacterial SSU rRNA". It matches the Rfam family "Archaeal small subunit ribosomal RNA", at positions 352 to 858 of the family's 1478-position model. The record is from RNAcentral.
GCAAUGCGAGAAAUCGCGACGGGGGGACCCCAAGUGCCACUCUUAACGGGGUGGCUUUUCUUAAGUGUAAAAAGCUUUUGGAAUAAGGGCUGGGCAAGACCGGUGCCAGCCGCCGCGGUAACACCGGCAGCUCUAGUGGUAGCCAUUUUUAUUGGGCCUAAAGCGUUCGUAGCCGGUUUGAUAAGUCUCUGGUGAAAUCCUGUAGCUUAACUGUGGGAAUUGCUGGAGAUACUAUUAGACUUGAGGUCGGGAGAGGUUAGCGGUACUCCCAGGGUAGGGGUGAAAUCCUGUAAUCCUGGGAGGACCACCUGUGGCGAAGGCGGCUAACUGGAACGAACCUGACGGUGAGGGACGAAAGCCAGGGGCGCGAACCGGAUUAGAUACCCGGGUAGUCCUGGCCGUAAACGAUGUGGACUUGGUGUUGGGAUGGCUUCGGGCUGUUUCAGUGCCGAAGGGAAGCUGUUAAGUCCACCGCCUGGGAAGUACGGUCGCAAGACUGAAACUUA